This 472-nucleotide ribosomal RNA is filed under the name uncultured bacterium. RNAcentral describes it as "bacterial SSU rRNA". It matches the Rfam family "Bacterial small subunit ribosomal RNA", at positions 355 to 825 of the family's 1533-position model. The record is from RNAcentral.
UGGGGAAUAUUGGACAAUGGGCGCAAGCCUGAUCCAGCCAUGCCGCGUGAGUGAAGAAGGCCUUCGGGUUGUAAAGCUCUUUUGUCAGGGAAGAAACGGUAGUAGCGAAUAACUAUUACUAAUGACGGUACCUGAAGAAUAAGCACCGGCUAACUACGUGCCAGCAGCCGCGGUAAUACGUAGGGUGCAAGCGUUAAUCGGAAUUACUGGGCGUAAAGCGUGCGCAGGCGGUUGUGUAAGUCAGAUGUGAAAUCCCCGGGCUCAACCUGGGAAUUGCAUUUGAGACUGCACGGCUAGAGUGUGUCAGAGGGGGGUAGAAUUCCACGUGUAGCAGUGAAAUGCGUAGAUAUGUGGAGGAAUACCGAUGGCGAAGGCAGCCCCCUGGGAUAACACUGACGCUCAUGCACGAAAGCGUGGGGAGCAAACAGGAUUAGAUACCCUAGUAGUCCCUGAGCGGGCUGGCAAGGCGCAU